Long non-coding RNA from Lactuca sativa (garden lettuce), 696 nucleotides. RefSeq lists it as uncharacterized. Lineage: Eukaryota; Viridiplantae; Streptophyta; Magnoliopsida; Asterales; Asteraceae. The record is from RefSeq and is a predicted model, not a curated record.
ACCAGAAAGAUACAUUUCACAUUUCACGGGGAAGAGACUUCCGAAAGGUGAGUAGCCUGGCCCUUGGACGACAUCAACACCACAGGGGAAUCUAUUUUCCCUCAAUCAGAAGAAAUCUCUAUUGCAAUCAAAAACAAUAAAACCCCUAUUCUCUGAUCCCAUUUUUCGUCUUCAAUCGUCACGUUAUCAUAGGGUUUGGUGUUAUGCUUUAAGCUCUUUAUAUGGCCUACCCUGGUGUCCUAAAAUCAAUUUAUGCGGUUGUUGUUUGGAUUGCUUCAUAUGCUCUUGUUGCAAUUAUUGGAUUAUUUCAAGUCUCGACUUUUAUUGGUUCAUCUAUUUUCAAUCGAUAAAGUACUUUGAAGGGGUAGAAGGGGCAAAAGGGCAAUAAAAAGAUCAAGGAAUAAUGAAAAAGGUGGAUGUAUAUGGCAUGGUUUUACACAAAUGGACAUUGAAGAGAAAAGAUUUAGACCAAAAGGAUUUGUUGAGAGUGUUUUUUGUUCUUUUGGUAUGAGUUUUGGUGUGUGAGAGAUGUGUCGUAUGUGGGAUUCACUUUUUUUCAAGGAUCUUUUGAGGAAUUUAUUCAUUGAGUUUUGAUUUGGUUCAAGUGGUUUUAAAAACCUAGUCAUUGUUGGCUUGAACAAAGUGUUUUGUCUAGACAUAAUAUAUAUAAUAAAAGAUGAUAUUCUUGACAGUUUC